UGCAUGCAUGACUGUAAGUCACUUUGGAUAAAAGCAUCUGCUAAAUGGCUUAUA
This is a non-coding RNA of Salmo salar (Atlantic salmon), 54 nucleotides long. Lineage: Eukaryota; Metazoa; Chordata; Actinopteri; Salmoniformes; Salmonidae. The record is from Rfam.